Molecule: ribosomal RNA, 484 nt
Filed under: uncultured bacterium
Lineage: Bacteria
Description: partial 16S ribosomal RNA
Rfam family: Bacterial small subunit ribosomal RNA
Source: RNAcentral
AUUGAACGCUGGCGGCAGGCCUAACACAUGCAAGUCGAGCGGAUGAAGGGAGCUUGCUCCUGGAUUCAGCGGCGGACGGGUGAGUAAUUCCUAGGAAUCUGCCUGGUAGUUGGGGAUAACGUCCGUAAACGGGCGCUAAUACCGCAUACGUCCUGAGGGAGAAAGUGGGGGAUCUUCGGACCUCACGCUAUCAGAUGAGCCUAGGUCGGAUUAGCUAGUUGGUGGGGUAAAGGCCUACCAAGGCGACGAUCCGUAACUGGUCUGAGAGCAUGAUCAGUCACACUGGAACUGAGACACGGUCCAGACUCCUACGGGAGGCAGCAGUGGGGAAUCUUGGACAAUGGGCGAAAGCCUGAUCCAGCAAUGCCGCGUGUGUGAAGAAGGUCUUCGGAUUGUAAAGCACUUUAAGUUGGGAGGAAGGGCAGUAAGUUAAUACCUUGCUGUUUUGACGUUACCAAAAGAAUAAGCACCGGCUAACUUCGUG